GACGAACGCUGGCGGCGUGCUUAACACAUGCAAGUCGAACGGUGAAGCUCCAGCUUGCUGGAGUGGAUCAGUGGCGAACGGGUGAGUAACACGUGAGCAACCUGCCCCUGACUCUGGAAUAAGCGCUGGAAACGGCGUCUAAUACUGGAUACGAGAAGGGUCCGCAUGGGCACUUUCUGGAAAGUUUUUCGGUUGGGGAUGGGCUCGCGGCCUAUCAGCUUGUUGGUGAGGUAAUGGCUCACCAAGGCGACGACGGGUAGCCGGCCUGAGAGGGCGACCGGCACAGCGGGAACGGGGAACGGGCCAGGACCCCUAGGGGGGGAGAAGGUGGGAAAAUUUGCAAAUGGGGGGAAGCCCUAUGGAGGGAAGCCGCGUGGGGGAAGGCGGGCCUUGGGGUUGAAAACGCUUUUGCGCGGGAAAAAGGGGAAGGGGAGGGUACCUGCAAAGAAGGACCGGCCAAACUAGGU
Molecule: ribosomal RNA, 467 nt
Filed under: uncultured bacterium
Lineage: Bacteria
Description: partial 16S ribosomal RNA
Rfam family: Bacterial small subunit ribosomal RNA
Source: RNAcentral